Molecule: transfer RNA, 100 nt
Filed under: Pseudomonas fluorescens
Lineage: Bacteria; Pseudomonadati; Pseudomonadota; Gammaproteobacteria; Pseudomonadales; Pseudomonadaceae
Description: tRNA-Ala
Source: RNAcentral
GCUUUUCAAUGGCUUAUAGCGGUGAUGCUUGUGUGUUCGCGGCAUUCGUACUGCCCCAGUUCGAGGGGCAGGGUCUGGGUCGCUGCCUUAUGGAACGCGC